CCGGGAUUGCCUUAGUAACGGCGAGUGAAGCGGCAAAAGCUCAAAUUUGAAAUCUGGUACCUUCGGUGCCCGAGUUGUAAUUUGGAGAGGGCAACUUUGGGGCCGUUCCUUGUCUAUGUUCCUUGGAACAGGACGUCAUAGAGGGUGAGAAUCCCGUGUGGCGAGGAGUGCGGUUCUUUGUAAAGUGCCUUCGAAGAGUCGAGUUGUUUGGGAAUGCAGCUAUAAGUGGGUGGUAAAUUCCAUCUAAAGCUAAAUAUUGGCGAGAGACCGAUAGCGAACAAGUACAGUGAUGGAAAGAUGAAAAGAACUUUGAAAAGAGAGUGAAAAAGUACGUGAAAUUGUUGAAAGGGAAGGGCAUUUGAUCAGACAUGGUGUUUUGUGCCCUCUGCUCCUUGUGGGUAGGGGAAUCUCGCAUUUCACUGGGCCAGCAUCAGUUUUGGUGGCAGGAUAAAUCCAUAGGAAUGUAGCUUGCCUCGGUAAGUAUUAUAGCCUGUGGGAAUACUGCCAGCUGGGACUGAGGACUGCGACGUAAGUCAAGGAUGCUGGCAUAAUGGUUAUAUGCC
This 563-nucleotide ribosomal RNA is filed under the name Saccharomyces cerevisiae (brewer's yeast). RNAcentral describes it as "partial large subunit ribosomal RNA". It matches the Rfam family "Eukaryotic large subunit ribosomal RNA", at positions 69 to 646 of the family's 3401-position model. The record is from RNAcentral. Lineage: Eukaryota; Fungi; Ascomycota; Saccharomycetes; Saccharomycetales; Saccharomycetaceae.